RNAcentral lists this ribosomal RNA (859 nucleotides) under Hyphopichia burtonii. Its description in RNAcentral is "LSU rRNA". It matches the Rfam family "Eukaryotic large subunit ribosomal RNA", at positions 38 to 964 of the family's 3401-position model. The record is from RNAcentral. Lineage: Eukaryota; Fungi; Ascomycota; Pichiomycetes; Serinales; Debaryomycetaceae.
GCAUAUCAAUAAGCGGAGGAAAAGAAACCAACAGGGAUUGCCUCAGUAACGGCGAGUGAAGCGGCAAAAGCUCAAAUUUGGAAUCUCAGUCUUUCAGGCUGCGAGUUGUAAUUUGAAGACGUAUUUUGAAGUAAGCACAUGUCGAAGUUCCUUGGAACAGGACGUCACAGAGGGUGAGAAUCCCGUGCGAUGUGUUCACUGCUUCAUGUAAAAUGCAGUCGAAGAGUCGAGUUGUUUGGGAAUGCAGCUCUAAGUGGGUGGUAAAUUCCAUCUAAAGCUAAAUAUUGGCGAGAGACCGAUAGCGAACAAGUACAGUGAUGGAAAGAUGAAAAGAACUUUGAAAAGAGAGUGAAAAAGUACGUGAAAUUGUUGAAAGGGAAGGGCUUGAGAUCAGACUCGGGCAACCGGGCCAGCAUGGGGUGGGGGAGUAGGAUAACCCUGCAGGAAAGUGGCUUCGCUUCGGUGGAGUGUUAUAGCCUGUAGCUAUACUGCUACCCUCGCCCGAGGACUGCGGAAACAAGGAUGCUGGCAUAAUGAUCUUAAGCCGCCCGUCUUGAAACACGGACCAAGGAGUCUAACGUCUAUGCGAGUGUUUGGGUGUAAAACCCGUACGCGGAAUGAAAGUGAACGUAGGUGGGAGCUUUAUUGCGCACCAUCGACCGAUCCUGAUGUCUUCGGAUGGAUUUGAGUAAGAGCAUAGCUGUUGGGACCCGAAAGAUGGUGAACUAUGCCUGAAUAGGGUGAAGCCAGAGGAAACUCUGGUGGAGGCUCGUAGCGGUUCUGACGUGCAAAUCGAUCGUCGAAUUUGGGUAUAGGGGCGAAAGACUAAUCGAACCAUCUAGUAGCUGGUUCCUGCCGA